GNNCUNGCNGCNGCUUACACAUGCAGUCGAGCGGAGAGAUGGAGACNCUGGUUCCCUGCAUGUCCGCCGGAGAGGGGAGUAAAGCUCAUGAGUCUGCCGAUUGUAGGAGGAGAACAUUCCCAAAGGACCGCUAAUACCGCCGGACCCUACGGGGAAACAGCAGGGGAUCUUCUGACCUGGGGCUUAUAGAUGAGCCUAACUCAGAUCCCCUGGUUGGUGGGGUAAAGGCCUACCAAGGCGACCAUCUGUGGCGGGUCUGAGAGGAUGAUCCGCCACACUGGGACUGAGACACGGCCCAGACUCCUACGGGAGGCAGCACUGGGGAAUAUUGGACAAUGGGCGCAAGCCUGAUCCAACCAUGCCGCGAGUGUGAACAAGGCCUUUUGGUUGUAAAGCACUUUAAGCGAGGAGGAGGCUACGUAAAAAAAUACUCUGGGAUAGUGGACGUUACUCGCAGAAGAAGCACCGGCUAACUCUGUGCCAGCAUCCGCGGUAAUACCCAGGGUGCGAGCGUUAAUCGGAUUUACUGGCCGUAAUGCGUGCGUAAGCGGCUUCUUAAGUCGGAUGUGAAAUCCCUGAGCUUAACUCACGAAUUGCACUCGAUACUGGGAAGCUAAAGUGUGGAAUAGGAUGGUAAAAUUCCAGGUGUAACUUUGAAAUGCGUAGAGAUCUGGAGGAAUACCGAUGGCGAACGCAGCCAUCUGGCCUAAUACUGACGCUGAGGUACGAAAGCAUGGGGAGCAAACAGGAUUAGAUACCCUGGUAGUCCAUGCCGUAAACCAUGUCUACUACCCGUUGGGGCCUUUGAUGCUUUAGUGCCGCCCCUAACGCGAUAAGUAGACCGCCUGGGGAGUACGCUCGCGAGACUCAAACUCAAAUGAAUAGACGGAGCACUCACAGCGGCCNAGCAGUGGUUGAAUUCGAUGCUAUCACUUAGACCAUACCUGGUACUCGUCUAGUACUAGCUUUCCUCAGACGACCUGUGCCUUCGNNANNCACUUNACAGGUGCNGCAACGCUGUCGUCAAGNNNNUCCU
Molecule: ribosomal RNA, 1036 nt
Filed under: uncultured Acinetobacter sp.
Lineage: Bacteria; Pseudomonadati; Pseudomonadota; Gammaproteobacteria; Moraxellales; Moraxellaceae
Description: bacterial SSU rRNA
Rfam family: Bacterial small subunit ribosomal RNA
Source: RNAcentral